UGUGGUCCGAUGAAUAUUGAGGCUCGUGGCGGAUAUCGUUAUUUUCUCACCUUCACAGAUGAUUUAAGCAGAUAUGGGUAUAUCUACUUAAUGAAACAUAAGUCUGAAACAUUUGAAAAGUUCAAGGAAUUUCAGAGUGAAGUUGAAAAUCAUCGUAACAAGAAAAUAAAGUUUCUACGAUCUGAUCGUGGAGGAGAAUAUUUGAGUUACGAGUUUGGUGUACAUUUGAAAAAUUGUGGAAUAGUUUCGCAACUCACGCCACCCGGAACACCUCAGCGUAAUGGUGUGUCCGAACGUCGUAAUCGUACUUUAUUGGAUAUGGUGCGAUCUAUGAUGUCUCUUACUAAUUUACCGCUAUCGUUUUGGGGAUACGCUCUAGAGACGGCCGCAUUCACAUUAAAUAGGGCACCAUCAAAAUCCGUUGACAUGACGCCUUAU
RNAcentral lists this ribosomal RNA (438 nucleotides) under Triticum aestivum (bread wheat). RNAcentral's name for it is "partial small subunit ribosomal RNA". The record is from RNAcentral. Lineage: Eukaryota; Viridiplantae; Streptophyta; Magnoliopsida; Poales; Poaceae.